AAGAGUUAUUGCCUGAGUAGGGGAGUGGUGUGAACAAUGUCUGAUGCUACUUGCUAUGGGUUUUUUUGUGUCUUUAUUUCAGUAAUUUUAUAUAUAUAAUAUAAUACAUGUGCAGAUCUCCUCACUUGUGUUGCUAGCUUCUAGCUGGCCUUACAUCUUUUCAUGAGUCUGUCCACAAGAGCAACAAGAAUUUUUCAGCUGCCUGUGUGCUAAUAGAACAGUGCUAUGACUAGCUGGACCUGGUUCAAACACUCGUGCUAUUUUGACGAUAUUUAUGGAUCAGAAGAAUAUGAUUUCCAUGGCAACUGCUCCAGGUUUUGAGCAAAUAUCAGCUUUGAAGGUCCAUGGGUGUUCAUGACAUCAGUCCUUCCUGCAUCCACUGAGAUAAAAGCACAGCUGCUUCAGUGAAGUGCUGAAGAACUAGAGAAUACAACUACAUCUUCUAACUACACAGUGGAAGAGGAGAUAAUCAAGACACUUCUCCACUUCUGCAGCGGGCACUGAACAUGUUCCAUUUCAAGCAUAGAAGAUUGGCCCUGCAAAAAAAAA
RNAcentral lists this long non-coding RNA (549 nucleotides) under Coturnix japonica (Japanese quail). RNAcentral's name for it is "lncRNA (ENSCJPG00005020955.1)". Lineage: Eukaryota; Metazoa; Chordata; Aves; Galliformes; Phasianidae. The record is from RNAcentral.